Molecule: ribosomal RNA, 253 nt
Filed under: uncultured bacterium
Lineage: Bacteria
Description: partial 16S ribosomal RNA
Rfam family: Bacterial small subunit ribosomal RNA
Source: RNAcentral
UACGUAGGGUGCAGGCGUUAAUCGGAAUUACUGGGCGUAAAGCGUGCGUAGGCGGUCUUGUAAGUUUGGUGUGAAAUCUCCCGGCUCAACUGGGAGGGUGCGCCGAAAACUGCAAGGCUGGAGUAUGGGAGAGGUAGGCGGAAUUCCUGGUGUAGCGGUGAAAUGCGUAGAUAUCAGGAGGAACACCUGUGGUGUAGACGGCUUACUGGACCAUGACUGACGCUGAGGCACGAAAGCGUGGGGAGCAAACAGG